Molecule: ribosomal RNA, 500 nt
Filed under: uncultured bacterium
Lineage: Bacteria
Description: bacterial SSU rRNA
Rfam family: Bacterial small subunit ribosomal RNA
Source: RNAcentral
GAAACUGGAGCUAAUACCGAAUAAGACCACGGGGUANUCCGGAUCCCGCGGUAAAAGAUGGCCUCUUCUUGAAAAGCUAUCGCCUGUUGAUGAGUCAGCGUCCCAUUAGCUUGUUGGUGAGGUAACGGCUCACCAAGGCUCCGAUGGGUAGCAGGUCUGAGAGGAUGAUCAGCCACACUGGAACUGAGACACGGUCCAGACUCCUACGGGAGGCAGCAGUCGGGAAUCUUGGGCAAUGGGGGCAACCCUGACCCAGCAACUCCGCGUGAGGGAUGAAGGCCUUCGGGUCGUAAACCUCUGUCGGGAGGGAAGAAAGGGCCGUAUGCGAAUAGUUUACGGUUUUGACGGUACCUCCAAAGGAANGUCCGGCUAACUCCGUGCCAGCAGCCGCGGUAAUACGGAGGGACCAAGCGUUGUUCGGAAUCAUUGGGCGUAAAGCGGGUGUAGGCGGCUUGGCAGUUCGGGUGUGAAAUCCCUGGGCUCACCCAGGAACUGCACUC